Long non-coding RNA from Clarias gariepinus (North African catfish), 396 nucleotides. RefSeq lists it as uncharacterized. Lineage: Eukaryota; Metazoa; Chordata; Actinopteri; Siluriformes; Clariidae. The transcript has 3 exons. The record is from RefSeq and is a predicted model, not a curated record.
GGUUGGAAUUGAACAUCAAAUCUUGCAGGGCAAUUACAUGCAAAAGACAACCUUACCAUGAUGAAAGAAGCUGGUGGGGCUGGAGCUCUGCAGCCUAUCCCAGGCGACUUAGAGCACGAGGCGGGGUACAUCCUGGACAGGAUGCCAAUCCAUCUCGGGGCGCACACAUAUACGGCAAUUUCAAAACACCAAUAAGACUAAUUUGCAUGUCUUUGGAUUGUGGGAGGAAACCGGAGUGCGCGGAAGAAACCCACCAAGCAAUGCAAACUCCAUGCACACAGAGCCCGAGGAACCCUGGAGCCUAUUGUAAAGUAGAAGACUACAAAUGGGGCGGGGGGAGGUGUCACCCAGGAUGCCAAUCCAUCAAAUGGCGCACACUGGACCCAGAGGAAACCC